UACGUAGGGUGCGAGCGUUGUCCGGAAUUAUUGGGCGUAAAGCGCUCGCAGGUGGUUCGUCGCGUCGUGCGUGAAAGACCCCGGCUCAACUGGGGAGGGUCGUGCGAUACGGGCGAACUGGAGGCCAGUAGGGGGAUGCGGAAUUCCGGGUGUAGUGGUGGAAUGCGUAGAGAUCCGGAGGAACACCAGCGGCGAAGGCGGCAUCCUGGACUGGUCCUGACACUCAGGAGCGAAAGCGUGGGGAGCGAUCCGG
This 253-nucleotide ribosomal RNA is filed under the name uncultured bacterium. Its description in RNAcentral is "partial 16S ribosomal RNA". It matches the Rfam family "Bacterial small subunit ribosomal RNA", at positions 524 to 776 of the family's 1533-position model. The record is from RNAcentral.